UAGGGAGACAAAUUGGAGUGAUAUCCAACUAAUCAGAAGCUGGAUGUAGCUGAAGGACUUCUUGUUCUAAUUUAUCUGGCUGUGUCUUCACUGAGCGGAAGAAGAUAUGGUGGUUGAAGUUACAAGGACUCCUUGUUGUAACCAGGAGCCGAUCUUGAUCAAUGGAGCUACAUAAAGCAUGUUGAAAUGCAAAGAAAGAUAGAAGGAGCCUGUGGUACUGAAAACAUUGAGGAUUCUCUGAACCAGCCUUGGCUACCCCACCAUUUAACUUGAGAAAAA
Molecule: long non-coding RNA, 279 nt
Filed under: Homo sapiens (human)
Lineage: Eukaryota; Metazoa; Chordata; Mammalia; Primates; Hominidae
Description: non-protein coding LINC02305:9
Source: RNAcentral